RNAcentral lists this ribosomal RNA (497 nucleotides) under uncultured bacterium. Its description in RNAcentral is "partial 16S ribosomal RNA". It matches the Rfam family "Bacterial small subunit ribosomal RNA", at positions 28 to 507 of the family's 1533-position model. The record is from RNAcentral.
GAUGAACGCUGGCGGCGUGCCUAAUACAUGCAAGUCGAGCGAACAGACGAGGAGCUUGCUCCUCUGACGUUAGCGGCGGACGGGUGAGUAACACGUGGAUAACCUACCUAUAAGACUGGGAUAACUUUGGGAAACCGGAGCUAAUACCGGAUAAUAUAUUGAACCGCAUGGUUCAAUAGUGAAAGACGGUUUUGCUGUCACUUAUAGAUGGAUCCGCGCCGCAUUAGCUAGUUGGUAAGGUAACGGCUUACCAAGGCGACGAUGCGUAGCCGACCUGAGAGGGUGAUCGGCCACACUGGAACUGAGACACGGUCCAGACUCCUACGGGAGGCAGCAGUAGGGAAUCUUCCGCAAUGGGCGAAAGCCUGACGGAGCAACGCCGCGUGAGUGAUGAAGGUCUUCGGAUCGUAAAACUCUGUUAUUAGGGAAGAACAAAUGUGUAAGUAACUAUGCACGUCGUGACGGUACCUAAUCAGAAAGCCACGGCUAACUACGUG